AGGCGUGUAGCUCAGAGGGAGAGCGCUGUAGUUUUACAUUACAGAGGUCGGUGGUUCAAUCCCAUUCCACGCCAACCA
Molecule: transfer RNA, 78 nt
Filed under: Alphaproteobacteria bacterium
Lineage: Bacteria; Pseudomonadati; Pseudomonadota; Alphaproteobacteria
Description: tRNA-OTHER
Rfam family: tRNA
About the family: Transfer RNA (tRNA) molecules are approximately 80 nucleotides in length. Their secondary structure includes four short double-helical elements and three loops (D, anti-codon, and T loops). Further hydrogen bonds mediate the characteristic L-shaped molecular structure. tRNAs have two regions of fundamental functional importance: the anti-codon, which is responsible for specific mRNA codon recognition, and the 3' end, to which the tRNAs corresponding amino acid is attached (by aminoacyl-tRNA synthetases). tRNAs cope with the degeneracy of the genetic code in two manners: having more than one tRNA (with a specific anti-codon) for a particular amino acid; and 'wobble' base-pairing, i.e. permitting non-standard base-pairing at the 3rd anti-codon position.
Source: RNAcentral